This 492-nucleotide ribosomal RNA is filed under the name uncultured bacterium. RNAcentral's name for it is "partial 16S ribosomal RNA". It matches the Rfam family "Bacterial small subunit ribosomal RNA", at positions 29 to 507 of the family's 1533-position model. The record is from RNAcentral.
AGUGAACGCUGGCGGUAGGCCUAACACAUGCAAGUCGAACGGCCGCACAGUAAGAGCUUGCUCUUACGGGUGGCGAGUGGCGGACGGGUGAGGAAUACAUCGGAAUCUACUUUUUCGUGGGUGAUAACGUAGGGAAACUUACGCUAAUACCGCAUACGACCUACGGGUUAAAGCAGGGGAUCUUCGGACUCUGCGCGUCUCAUUGAGCCGAUGUCGGAUUAGCUAGUUGGCGAGGUAAAGGCCCACCAAGGCGACGAUCCGUAGCUGGUCUGAGAGGAUGAUCAGCCACACUGGAACUGAGACACGGUCCAGACUCCUACGGGAGGCAGCAGUGGGGAAUAUUGCACAAUGGGCGCAAGCCUGAUCCAGCCAUACCGCGUGGGUGAAGAAGGCCUUCGGGUUGUAAAGCCCUUUUGUUGGGAAAGAAAAGCAGCGGAUUAAUACCCCGCUGUUCUGACGGUACCCAAAGAGUAAGCACCGGCUAACUUCGUG